Non-coding RNA from Cyanistes caeruleus (blue tit), 1034 nucleotides. NCBI's taxonomy places the organism in Eukaryota, Metazoa, Chordata, Aves, Passeriformes, Paridae. The record is from RefSeq and is a predicted model, not a curated record.
UCCUGGAAUCCCUGUGUCUUCUGGACACUGUCAUGCUCUUCUGUAUGCUGGCAGCAAAUUGUGCUCCAAGUGCAACCUGUCUACUUUGUUUGCCUGUCACUGCAGCUGUAGCUGUCUGCCAAGCUAACUGCUUCCAGGAGUGCUAAUAAAAACACUGUACCAAGGUGGCAACUUUCAAAUCCCAGCCCAGGACAACAGAACUCCUUAAGCCAAUCAAAAGCAAGUGCCAGAGCCUGAGCAAAGCUGUGAAGUCUGGAGGAUAACUGUUAGCUUUCCUACAUCCUGCAAGGAUGGUGGGUUAGCUCCUGAGUCUGACAUAUUGCUGGUCCUGUUGGAGGACUUCUGAGAAUAUUCAAGCACAAAACAUCACUGGCAUAAAACGAAAUACAGCAGAUUUCUCUAAGUUAUAUCCUUCACAUUUUAGUUGGGACGCUGAGUAGAAAAUCAGUUACUCACACAGAGGCUCCCUGGUGGGCAGAGUCUGGUUAUUUUCGGGGUCAUGAGCACUGGUUAUUACUUAAACCAUAUAACUCAAAAGUCUGCACAGAAAGGAUGAGACUCUCUAUGCUGGCAUUUCCAAAGGCUGAGCAGAGCUGAGUAGGUAGGGCCUAUGAGCAGUGUGCUCAUGACCCAUCUGGUAGGCACUCAGAAUACAGGCAGGCAGAAAUUCCCUGUGGCACUCACAGUUUGACUUAAUAUUUGACUUAAUAUUUGAUAUUUAGAGGUGAUGGGGAUUAGCACUAUUCCCUCUGCUUCUGUGACCACCAUGCUUGCGCCUUCAGUGCAGGCUACCUGUUCUCCUUUUCAAUGUUGCCAGCACAAUCCCUGUUUCAUCCCUGCUGUAAAGUCACCUGUAGCCUGGUACACCCCCCAUCAAUAUGAAAUAUUGGGAAUAAAGGCCCAACAGCAUUACUGUGAAAAAGAGCAGUGAAAAUGGGUCCCCCCAUGCCCCAAGGCCAUGUGUUUGUCUUUCAUCUGUGGUACUUGGGGCUAGAUUGUUCCUUUCUUUCCAGAGGAAAAGCAAAAAGCAAACC